RNAcentral lists this unclassified non-coding RNA (280 nucleotides) under uncultured fungus. RNAcentral's name for it is "partial contains small subunit ribosomal RNA, internal transcribed spacer 1, and 5.8S ribosomal RNA". The stretch from base 1 to 73 matches the Rfam family "Eukaryotic small subunit ribosomal RNA", at positions 1759 to 1831 of the family's 1831-position model. Lineage: Eukaryota; Fungi. The record is from RNAcentral.
GCAAACUUGGUCAUUUAGAGGAAGUAAAAGUCGUAACAAGGUCUCCGUUGGUGAACCAGCGGAGGGAUCAUUACCGAGUUUAUUCAACUCCUUAACCCCUGUGAACAUACCUAUCGUUGCUUCGGCGGGACCGCCCCGGCGCCAUCGCGGCCCGGACCCAGGCGCCCGCCGGGGAAUCAAAAACUUUGAAUUAGUGAGUGGAUCUUCUGAGUAAACAAGCAAAUAAAUUAAAACUUUCAACAACGGAUCUCUUGGUUCUGGCAUCGAUGAAGAACGCAGC